CUUUAAUCGUCUCCUUCUCGCUGCUUUGCUUCCUCUUUUCCUCCCUCUCCGUCUUUUUCUCCCUCUCCGGAGGAUGCUCGGGUGCUCGGUGAGAUGGAGCGGGGCAUGAUGUUUCCAUGGGACAUCCCCGGGCAAGAGGGAGGAGGUUCUUGAGUGAAAGAAGUCCCACCGAGGGAGCCAUCAGAAGAAGCCACACCACCUCCAAAAGGUCCCACCUUUCCACCUCUCCAGGGAUGGGGACUCCAGCAGAGAAGCACAGCAAGGGAUUUGCUCGAAUCAUCCUUCCUGCUGGUCUCUGCACCCGAAUCCCUGCUUCCAUGGGAAUUUCCUGCCUGCACAGCGCUGGGAGUGCUUUUAGCUGGAAAGCUCCAGGUCUUUCCUGUGUUUGGGGCUCCAGCACGUUUCCCUGCCUUUGAUGCACAUUUUUAUCUGUCUGGCACAGAUGCAGGAUAUUGGUGUGGAAAGAUGGUGGAGGGAAAAUCCAUAACUGCUCCAUGAGAAAAUCCCGUCCAGAACGUUCAUUCCUUCUGGAAUCAUCUUUAUUUAACCAUUAGAAUAAAAUGGAUCUGAGCUCAGCCGGGGGGAAAGUAUUUGGUCUAAGUUAAAAAUCAGGUUCAUCAGGGACAAACUGGCAAAUAAUUAUUAUUUCUCAAUAAAAAUUAUUUUAAAUCA
This is a long non-coding RNA of Hirundo rustica (Barn swallow), 672 nucleotides long. RefSeq lists it as uncharacterized. The record is from RefSeq and is a predicted model, not a curated record. The transcript is spliced from 4 exons. Lineage: Eukaryota; Metazoa; Chordata; Aves; Passeriformes; Hirundinidae.